AUACGGAGGGUGCAAGCGUUAAUCGGAAUUACUGGGCGUAAAGCGUGCGUAGGCGGCGCAUUAAGUCUGAUGUGAAAUCCCCGGGCUUAACCUGGGAAUUGCAUUGGAUACUGGUGUGCUCGAAUGUGGUAGAGGGUGGCGGAAUUUCUGGUGUAGCGGUGAAAUGCGUAGAUAUCAGAAAGAACACCAAUGGCGAAGGCAGCCACCUGGGCCAACAUUGACGCUGAGGUACGAAAGCGU
This 240-nucleotide ribosomal RNA is filed under the name uncultured bacterium. Its description in RNAcentral is "partial 16S ribosomal RNA". It matches the Rfam family "Bacterial small subunit ribosomal RNA", at positions 523 to 762 of the family's 1533-position model. The record is from RNAcentral.